This is an RNA transcript of Grammomys surdaster, 562 nucleotides long. It is a transcript of the gene named RING-box protein 2 pseudogene, with no coding region annotated. The transcript has a single exon. Lineage: Eukaryota; Metazoa; Chordata; Mammalia; Rodentia; Muridae. The record is from RefSeq and is a predicted model, not a curated record.
GCCGCCGCCAUGGCCGAUGUGGAGGAGGGCGAGGAACCCUGGGUCCUUUCCUCUCACUCCGGGAGCGUAGGCUCCAAGUCGGGAGGCGACAAGAUGUUCUCCCUCAAGAAGUGGAACGCGGUAGCCAUGUGGAGCUGGGACUUUGAGUGCGACACCUGCGCCAUCUGCAGGGUCCAGGUGAUGGAUGCCUGUCUUAGAUGUCAAGCUGAAAAGCAGGAGGACUGUGUUGUGGUCUGGGGAGAAUGCAACCAUUCCUUCCACAACUGCUGCAUGUCUCUGUGGGUGAAGCAGAACAAUCGGUGCUCUCUGUGCCAGCAGGACUGCAUGGUCCAAAGAAUUGGCAAAUGAGAGGUGGCAGAGGCUCUCCUGGUGUGGUUGGUGACCCUGGACAACCUUGCCGUCAAGUUACUGGACAAAGACUAGACACUCCAGAGGAUUCAUCCUUCAGAUAGAGAGGAUAGUGUGCGGCCUUUGAGACUCAUCCAAAGCCUGCUUUAUCAUGUUGUUUAAUGUUGGGAACUUCUCUACAACUAAGAAGAUAAUUUAUUAAAAAUGGCCUUUC